This 255-nucleotide ribosomal RNA is filed under the name uncultured bacterium. RNAcentral's name for it is "partial 16S ribosomal RNA". It matches the Rfam family "Bacterial small subunit ribosomal RNA", at positions 524 to 776 of the family's 1533-position model. The record is from RNAcentral.
UACAGAGGCUCCAAGCAUUAUCCGGAAUCACUGGGCGUAAAGGGUGUGUAGGCGGUCUAGUUAGUCUUUCGUGAAAGCUUUCCGGCUUAACCGGGAAAACGCGGGGGAAACGGCUAGGCUACGAGGACGUAAGAGGUACAGGGAACUCAUGGUGUAGGGGUGAAAUCCGUUGAUAUCAUGGGGAACACCAAAUGCGAAGGCACUGUACUGGUACGCUCCUGACGCUGAGACACGAAAGCGUGGGAAUCGAACGGG